RNAcentral lists this ribosomal RNA (433 nucleotides) under uncultured bacterium. RNAcentral's name for it is "bacterial SSU rRNA". It matches the Rfam family "Bacterial small subunit ribosomal RNA", at positions 80 to 507 of the family's 1533-position model. The record is from RNAcentral.
CAACCCUGGUGGCGAGUGGCGAACGGGUGAGUAAUACAUCGGAACGUCGCCCAGUCGGUGGGGGAUAACGUAGCGAAAGCUACGCUAAUACCGCAUACGAUCUACGGAUGAAAGCGGGGGAUCGCAAGACCUCGCGCGAUUGGAGCGGCCGAUGGCAGAUUAGGUAGUUGGUGGGGUAAAGGCUCACCAAGCCUUCGAUCUGUAGCUGGUCUGAGAGGACGACCAGCCACACUGGGACUGAGACACGGCCCAGACUCCUACGGGAGGCAGCAGUGGGGAAUUUUGGACAAUGGGCGAAAGCCUGAUCCAGCCAUUCCGCGUGCAGGAUGAAGGCCCUCGGGUUGUAAACUGCUUUUGUACGGAACGAAACGGCCUUUUCUAAUACAGAGGGCUAAUGACGGUACCGUAAGAAUAAGCACCGGCUAACUACGUG